GCAUAAUCAAUUGUCUUUUUAUUGAAGACUGGUAUGAAGGAUAAAUACUAAGGGGAUAGUUUUUUUGAAUAAUUUUGAAUUUAAAUUAAAAGUAAAAAUGCUUUUUAUUAAUCUUUGGGACAAGAAGACCCUAGAAGCUUUAGAUAUAAGAUAUCUUUGGUUGGGGCAAUUUGUGAAGAUAAAUAUUUUUGGAAUAAGAGUUAAGUUACUCUAGGGGUAACAGCAUUAUUUAAUUAGCAAGCUCUUAUUAAUAAUUAAGAUUAUGACCUCGAUGUUGAAUUAAUU
This 285-nucleotide ribosomal RNA is filed under the name Pseudogyndesoides latus. Its description in RNAcentral is "partial 16S ribosomal RNA". The record is from RNAcentral. Lineage: Eukaryota; Metazoa; Arthropoda; Arachnida; Opiliones; Gonyleptidae.